GACGAACGCUGGCGGCGUGCCUAAUACAUGCAAGUAGAACGCUGAAGAGAGGAGCUUGCUCUCCUUGGAUGAGUUGCGAACGGGUGAGUAACGCGUAGGUAACCUGCCUGGUAGCGGGGGAUAACUAUUGGAAACGAUAGCUAAUACCGCAUAAAAUUGAUUAUUGCAUGAUAAUUAAUUGAAAGAUGCAACUGCAUCACUACCAGAUGGACCUGCGUUGUAUUAGCUAGUUGGUGAGGUAACGGCUCACCAAGGCGACGAUACAUAGCCGACCUGAGAGGGUGAUCGGCCACACUGGGACUGAGACACGGCCCAGACUCCUACGGGAGGCAGCAGUAGGGAAUCUUCGGCAAUGGGGGGAACCCUGACCGAGCAACGCCGCGUGAGUGAAGAAGGUUUUCGGAUCGUAAAGCUCUGUUGUAAGAGAAGAACGGGUGUGAGAGUGGAAAGUUCACACUGUGACGGUAUCUUACCAGAAAGGGACGGCUAACUACGUG
This 497-nucleotide ribosomal RNA is filed under the name uncultured bacterium. RNAcentral describes it as "partial 16S ribosomal RNA". It matches the Rfam family "Bacterial small subunit ribosomal RNA", at positions 28 to 507 of the family's 1533-position model. The record is from RNAcentral.